AGACAGUGGGUUUAUUAUCGAGUAUAAAAGUGAGGCUGUGGCAGAUUUCGCUGGCUUCCUCGGAGCCCGCUUGCCUCUCAAAUCUGUGCUGUUUGAAACAUUUAUCCAAAUUUUUCUUUCAUACAGCAUGGCUACAUCGAGUUCAGUGAGCCAGCUGUAUAAAACUGUAGUAGAGGAUGUAAUCAGCAACGUAAAGGAAGCCUUCCUCGACGAGGGAGUAGAUGAACAAGUGCUCACAGAGUUAAGACAGCUAUGGGAUACCAAGUUGACAUCCUCCAAGGCUCUAGAUGCACAGACUGCAGACCAAGACAUGAUUCCCAAAAUCUUUGUACCUCAUCAGCAGCCACAAGUGAUGGUGACUGGCACGACGGCGGUGCCGCAGGCCAUCCCUGUCCCCAUCCAGAUAGCAGCAGGAGCUGGCCAGGACAUGCUAAAGAGAAUUUCGAUUAGACCCCAAGGUGCAGCAGCGACAGCCACCAUGGCUCUGCCGCAGGGUCUGUUCCAGCACCAACUAGCAGCUCUCAACACAGCUGGAAACACCAUUCUGCAUACAGGUAACGGGCAGUACAUCCAGGUGUUAUCACAGCAUCUCCAGCAGGCUCCUCAAGCCACAACCAUCACAACUCUCCCCCAUCAAACUAUCCUCCAGAGUGGGCAGAUGCAAGCACAGGUCCCACAGAUGACCAACAUACAGAACGUUCAGCUUGCGCCAGGACAGCAGAUACGAGCACAAAAUCCUAAUGGCCAGGGGAUGGUACAGCUGGAUGGGGCUGGUGACACAAGUUCAUCUGAGGAUGAUGAGUACAACGACGAUGACGACAAUGAUGACAAUGAUGACGAGAACAAUGAGGAGGAAGAGCAGGGGGAAGAAGAGGAACCAUUGAACUCCGAGGAUGACGUGAGUGAGCAGGACCCUGACGAGUUGUUUGACACAGACAAUGUGGUUGUCUGUCAGUAUGACAAGAUAAACCGCAACAAAAACAAGUGGAAGUUUCAUUUAAAGGAUGGCAUAAUGAAUCUCAAUGGUCGUGACUUUGUGUUCCAAAAAGCAACAGGUGAUGCUGAGUGGUAGUGAGAGCUUGUGAUUCCUCAUUUGUACAGCGACUGUAUAUACAGUGUACAUAUCACACCGGACUCCUCACACAGAUUACAGAAGAAGUCAGUGGAGGUGGCUGGAGGGAGUCAAAUGGUCGUCAGGAUCUGCAAUAUUUCUACCAUGUUUGUUUUUGGGCCAUAAAUGAUACAAGUUAUUUUAUUGACUUUACAGAACGCUUCUGUUCUGUUCUGUUCUGAUCCCCAGUGCUACUAUCACAGCACAGAUUUGAUGUGAUGUUACAAUUAAUGAUUGAAGAUAUAUUCAGUUUGUAAUGAUUUGAUGCCUUGAUACAAAACAGACUGAUAUUUUUGUACUAUGGAGUUCCAAUGAGACUGUGCUAAUAGUAUUUGUUCAAUGCAGGAUGCACAACGUGCUGGUGUUGUUGUAAUUGAAUUCAAUGCUUAAUGACACAAUGAUAAAAUGUUCCUGUAUCUGUGACCCCUGUGGAGAUCCCAGGGCAGAGUAGGUUCCCAGUGUAAACCCUCCUGAGGCCAGAGUGUCCACUUGCCUUUUUAUCAAAGUCCUGUUUCCACCCUUGCCACUUUCAGCCCUCAUUUCCUGUGCUUGAUAUGAUUCAACUGUCGUACCUAUCGAUAGUCCAAUCACAGAACGUUUGGCAAAAUCAACAUCCACGACUGGUACACCUUUGUAUGAAAGUGAAUUACUGCUGCCUGUCUUCGUUAACACAAAUAUCAUCUUUUGAACCCCCCAACAAUUGCCUAUGUUUUUGUGUCGCGUGAAAUCACGGAUGUUUUUGUUAUCUGAUGGACUAGAUCAUCGCCUAUGGUAGUUGCCAUGUUUAUGAAGCUAUACAUGAUAAGACCAGCUCCUGAUUGGAUAUCGUGUUUUCAUUACAAGGGGCACAACUCGUGACCAAUGCGAGCCAAGAAAAGUGGCCUUGAUGCGGCAAGGUUAGAAACUAGGCCUUGAUAUAGGCUAGUGGACACGCCUUGAUGUGGCAAGGUUAGAAACUAGGCCUUGAUAUAGGCUAGUGGACACGCCUUGAUGUGGCAAGGUUAGAAACUAGGCCUUGAUAUGGGCUAGUGGACACGCCUUGAUGUGGCAAGGUUAGAAACUAGGCCUUGAUAUGGGCUAGUGGACACGCCUUGAUGUGGCAAGGUUAGAAACUAGGCCUUGAUAUAGGCUAGUGGACACGCCUUGAUGUGGCAAGGUUAGAAACUAGGCCUUGAUAUAGGCUAGUGGACACGCCUUGAUGUGGCAAGGUUAGAAACUAGGCCUUGAUAUGGGCUAGUGGACACGCCUUGAUGUGGCAAGGUUAGAAACUACAGUAGGCUUUGAUAUAGGCUAGUGGACACGCUUGCCUCUGGAAGAUGCAGUACACCAAGCUUUUGUACCAUUUGGGAAGAAUUAGACCACACUCAGUUCCAUUUGCCUGUGUCCUCCAUGGGAAGAAUAGGUCCCCAUGGUACCCCUUGCUUGUCAUAGGAGCCAACGUGAAUGAGGAUCACAGUGUCACUUAGAUGGUUGUGUGUCAUCCUACCUACACAGUGUGGAUGAAUGCUCUUGCAAUUGGUCACUGAUUUCUCUGGAUCAGAGUCUCUUAUGCCAGGCUAUUGUAUUACUGUUUACAGAUUUAUCUAACCGGUCAGCCUGAAUUUGUGUGGAUUGUAAAUAUCUUACGUUUGGGUUUGUCAGGUGUUUUUGGUUUAAAAAAAUUUAAUUUCAGUCGUGAAGAUUGGUAUUUAUACAAAACAUAUAUUUAUUUCGAAAAGGCUUUGUACUCUUUGUAAGGUGUUUGUACGGGCCAGAGGCUUCAUAAGAUGCAUUUGAUCCAAAACAAAAAUCAAAGUUAAUAAAUAGUUUUGUAUUAUUUAUUUUCUGAUCCAAAUUUUGAGUGGUGGGACAAAUAUGAAUAGAUUAUUGAAAGAAUAAGAAAUACAGCCUUGUGUACAGCCAGCCAUAUAUUUUCGGGAAACAUUGCAUAAAACAACCUUCACUCACUCCUGUAUGUGUUCCUUGAGUCAGGGUAAGAAUUAUCAAGAAAGCCUUGGCGUGAAAUCCAUGAUUCAUUUUGGACUAGUUCUCCCAGUAAUUGAGCUGGUAUCGUCGAGAAAAACUUCUAGUCCAUAUUGUUUUCCCGCAGCUUGGACAUGCAGACAGGUGUUGUAUGUCCAACCCUUAUGUGUGUUUGUGUGCAUAGGAAUGACAGGAGAGUAAUGACAGCAGUAAACAUGACUGUAACAUUAGUGGUCAACAUUUGCAAAUCUCUCUUCCAUUGUACUUCAGUUACAUAAUUAGUCCAUUUAUCAUGGUAAUCAUUCUGAAUGUGCGAGAAUGGCUAUUAAAUCAAAUUAUCGGUUACAUUUGAAGGGGUUUAAUGGUAUGAAAGAACACUUGAAACGGUGCAUGGUUUAAAUCAAAAUGGUAGAUGGGUUUGUUUGUAUAAAGUAAAGGUAGAGAAAUGUAUAUUGCAAUGAUUUUAUUUAAUGAAAAGUGUUGGGAGAUGAGUGUUGUCAUGUCCCUAUCAUUUUGUUGGUGAAAGGAUCUCUGAAGUUGUAGCACUUUCUGCAGUUGCAGGAGAGGUUGUCCAAAGAAGGCCUUUUGUAUAAACGUUUUAUGAAUGUUUACGAUCAAUCCAAUCACAAAGAAUGUAUGUUGUCUAAGUUUGUAAGUCAAGUGAAUGUUGCUACUAGUGUAAUAGCCUGUACAUUUGGUAUUUUGGCCAUAUGUAGUCAGUAUUGCCAUACCAUAUACCAUUCAAACAGGGAUUUACAUCGAGUUAUUUAUGUACCAGGGUGCCGUUGUACAAAACAACCUUAGCACUACGCCUGUCGUAAGUCUAUGUUAAGGUAUGGGAGUUACGAUCCCCUUAGCGCUAAGAUCGCUUUGUACAAUGGCACUCAGGACAACAUUCUGUGAGAAAGUCCUGUUCACUAGUUUCAGACUAGCUAACUGAUAACCUUGUAUAAGGUUAUGGUUGCCUUCGAUUAAAAUUUUAUUUGUUCGUC
This 4065-nucleotide unclassified non-coding RNA is filed under the name Haliotis rufescens (red abalone). RNAcentral describes it as "transcription initiation factor IIA subunit 1-like, transcript variant X4". Lineage: Eukaryota; Metazoa; Mollusca; Gastropoda; Lepetellida; Haliotidae. The record is from RNAcentral.